UACAUGGGGUGCAAACGUUGCUCGGAAUUAUUGGGCGUAAAGCGCGCGUAGGCGGUUACUUAAGUCGGAUGUGAAAGCCCUCGGCUUAACUGAGGAAGUGCACCCGAAACUGAGUAGCUAGAGUACGAAAGAGGGUCGCGGAAUUCCCGGUGUAGAGGUGAAAUUCGUAGAUAUCGGGAGGAACACCUGUGGCGAAAGCGGCGCACUGGACCACAACUGACGCUGAGGCGCGAAAGCUAGGGGAGCAAACAGG
Molecule: ribosomal RNA, 253 nt
Filed under: uncultured bacterium
Lineage: Bacteria
Description: partial 16S ribosomal RNA
Rfam family: Bacterial small subunit ribosomal RNA
Source: RNAcentral